GUGGGGAAUAUUGGACAAUGGGCGCAAGCCUGAUCCAGCCAUACCGCGUGGGUGAAGAAGGCCUUCGGGUUGUAAAGCCCUUUUGUUGGGAAAGAAAUCCUGUCGGUUAAUACCUGGCGGGGAUGACGGUACCCAAAGAAUAAGCACCGGCUAACUUCGUGCCAGCAGCCGCGGUAAUACGAAGGGUGCAAGCGUUACUCGGAAUUACUGGGCGUAAAGCGUGCGUAGGUGGUGGUUUAAGUCCGUUGUGAAAGCCCUGGGCUCAACCUGGGAAUGUCAGUGGAUACUGGAUCACUAGAGUGUGGUAGAGGGAUGCGGAAUUUCUGGUGUAGCAGUGAAAUGCGUAGAGAUCAGAAGGAACAUCCGUGGCGAAGGCGGCAUCCUGGGCCAACACUGACACUGAGGCACGAAAGCGUGGGGAGCAAACAGGAUUAGAAACCCGGGUAGUCC
Molecule: ribosomal RNA, 450 nt
Filed under: uncultured bacterium
Lineage: Bacteria
Description: partial 16S ribosomal RNA
Rfam family: Bacterial small subunit ribosomal RNA
Source: RNAcentral